CACGUAGGGUGCGAGCGUUGUCCGGAAUUAUUGGGCGUAAAGAGCUCGUAGGUGGUUUGUCGCGUUGUUCGUGAAAACUCACAGCUCAACUGUGGGCGUGCGGGCGAUACGGGCAGACUGGAGUACUGCAGGGGAGACUGGAAUUCCUGGUGUAGCGGUGGAAUGCGCAGAUAUCAGGAGGAACACCGGUGGCGAAGGCGGGUCUCUGGGCAGUAACUGACGCUGAGGAGCGAAAGCGUGGGGAGCGAACAGG
RNAcentral lists this ribosomal RNA (253 nucleotides) under uncultured bacterium. RNAcentral's name for it is "partial 16S ribosomal RNA". It matches the Rfam family "Bacterial small subunit ribosomal RNA", at positions 524 to 776 of the family's 1533-position model. The record is from RNAcentral.